Non-coding RNA from Lepisosteus oculatus (spotted gar), 1310 nucleotides. The record is from RefSeq and is a predicted model, not a curated record. Lineage: Eukaryota; Metazoa; Chordata; Actinopteri; Semionotiformes; Lepisosteidae.
UUCGCUGAUUUGAUUGAACAUUAGAAUUGAUUAUAUUAAUACAAUUUCAGCGUAUUGAUCGUGUCUUGUAUUUCUAUGUCUCUCUUAUGUGUUCCCUUGUGUGUAUGUUUUCUUGUAUUUCACGUGUCUGCAGCGCUGGUUUAUCGACCCGGCACAUAAAGCAAACCCACUGUCCUCGUGUUUCUUAGCUCCCGUCUUGUUUGCAAACUUUUCUCCUGUGUUUUUUUUACUUUGUCAAUAAAACGUGGUUGCCGUGACAACGGAGCUGUAAAAGUUGUUGCGAUCUGAUCUCCAGGGGGAGUCCGCAGUGCUUAACGAGCAGAGAGCGGAACCACAGCAUCCUGAGCCGUGGCUCCACACCGACCUCGGGCGACGGACCGGCUGUCGCGCUAAUCACGCAUCAGAUCCGGAUACGUCUCCGUUAAGUGACGUAAAUGAGCGGCGCAGGGCUUGUCCAAUCAGCGCCGUUGGCUGGAAUAGGCGGGAUUUCCUUUAAGUUUGGGUGAGUGACACCGUUCUUAGCCAAUCACCACGGCCUUCCGUGUUCUUCCACGGAAAUACCGCCCUCAAGUUGAGUGACUCGGCUCAGAACCAAUCAGCACCGAGAUUUCGGCAGGAGGCGGGGCAGAUACGGCUUUCGUCCAAUCACAAUUUCAAUUCCGGGACUUUACCUAAUUACGGCGGGCGGUGACACUUCCGAGAAAUGUCCACUGGGCGGCGACAGAGAUACACGACUCUAUGGCGGUGAGUCUCAAAGCGCUGUCGAAGACUUGUUGUGCAGAUAUUUUUUUUUUCAGAAGUGUAAAUAUAUUAUACUAUGUACCCCUGAUGACAUUAUUGAUUUGCUAUAUAUACUCUUGUUUUGUGUCGUAUCUAUUUUUAUUGCUACAUGAGUUAAAAAAGAACUGCACUUCUGAGAAAUGUCCACUGGGCGGCGACAGAGAUACACGAGUCUAGGCGGCGAAUCUUAAAGCGCCUCCUUACAGAUCCUCGUUGUGCUGAGAUUGAAAAUCAAAACAUGGUAACUGUGACUUUUCUGACAGCAACUCUGAAAGCUAAAGUAAAGAAGGAAACUAAUAUUGACAUUACUUUUAAAGAAGUAAAAUAAUGCUACAUUUAAACCCAUAUGAAAAUAUCAUUUGUAUUUUAAAAAAUAUUAUACUUCCACGAUAUAAUAAUUAACGAAAUGCUGUGAGAGGAGACCCAUGUUUGAACACUUUAAAACGGAUGUAAAUGCGUCUGUACAGACAAUUUGAAACAUGUACGGACCUUAUCUGCUUUUGUUUACUAUUAAACAAGAUUACUUGUUU